CUCUUCUUGGACGGUCCACUUCCCACAACAUGGAUUAGUGCUAUUCCUAAUUCAUAACGACGAGAGUGUAGGUGAUUCACCUUAAGUCACCUGCGAGGUGGUAUAGCUGGCUGCAAGAGUGUGUUCGACGGAGUCAAGGUUCACUCGCCUCACCUUCACAUCUAGCAGCGACGUACCGCUUCUGAGGACACACUCACACUGACGAUGGACACACUUGCUCGUCUAGCAGUGUGUGUGAGUGGCGCUCUUGGUAAGCACACGAUGUAGGCUCGUAGGUCGGUGCAUCAGUACAAAACAGUUCCUUUGAACACUUUCCAUGCAAUGUUUUGUUGACUAAUAUUGAACUGUUACCUGUUUGCUCAAUAAAAAAAAAAGAUAAAACACAGAA
Molecule: non-coding RNA, 388 nt
Organism: Cherax quadricarinatus
Lineage: Eukaryota; Metazoa; Arthropoda; Malacostraca; Decapoda; Parastacidae
Source: RefSeq, a predicted model, not a curated record